UACGUAGGGUCCGAGCGUUGUCCGGAAUUAUUGGGCGUAAAGGGCUCGUAGGCGGUCUGUUGCGUCGGGAGUGAGAACUUACAGCUUAACUGUGAGCGUGCUUCCGAUACGGGCAGACUUGAGGUAUUCAGGGGAGAACGGAAUUCCUGGUGUAGCGGUGAAAUGCGCAGAUAUCAGGAGGAACACCGGUGGCGAAGGCGGUUCUCUGGGAAUAUCCUGACGCUGAGGAGCGAAAGUGUGGGGAGCGAACAGG
Molecule: ribosomal RNA, 253 nt
Filed under: uncultured bacterium
Lineage: Bacteria
Description: partial 16S ribosomal RNA
Rfam family: Bacterial small subunit ribosomal RNA
Source: RNAcentral